RNAcentral lists this transfer RNA (64 nucleotides) under Meliboeus sinae. Its description in RNAcentral is "tRNA-Ile". Lineage: Eukaryota; Metazoa; Arthropoda; Insecta; Coleoptera; Buprestidae. The record is from RNAcentral.
AGCAAAGUGCCUGAUAAAAGGCCUAUCUUGAUAGGAUAGUUCACGUAGUUGCCUACCUUUGCUA